Molecule: ribosomal RNA, 438 nt
Filed under: Triticum aestivum (bread wheat)
Lineage: Eukaryota; Viridiplantae; Streptophyta; Magnoliopsida; Poales; Poaceae
Description: partial small subunit ribosomal RNA
Source: RNAcentral
AUGUCGUCGAUGUCGUCCAAGCCGAAGAGAGCAGGCGGCCUCCAGGGCCCGAGGCCGCAGCCGCUGAGCCUGUCGGCACGGCCGUCGAAGAAGCCGCGCGUCGGCGGCCACGCCGGACCAGCUGCCGGGCCCGUGAUCGUGUACGAGCGCACGCCGAGGGUCGUCCACGCCGACCCACACGAGUUCAUGGCCAUCGUGCAGAGGCUCACGGGCAAUUGCAAGAAGCAGUCGUCGACCGGAGCUCGGGACGGCAGGGCCUCGACGUUGACCGCCGCAGACGCCUUGGUUCUCACGCUUGGCCAGCAGCAGCGUGCGCCGUGUGGUGCUCAUCAUCCGGCACCUCCUGAUUCCCCGGCUGCCGCAUCACCGCUGCUGUCCCCGAGCAGCUUCUUCUUCUCCCCGACCACCAUGCAGGCGAUACGGGAGCUCAUCAGCUGA